UUAAAGGUGGCAGAUAAAUGCGUAGAUUUUAAGCGUCUAUAAUGAGGUUCUCCCUUU
RNAcentral lists this transfer RNA (57 nucleotides) under Pseudosuccinea columella. RNAcentral's name for it is "tRNA-Leu". The record is from RNAcentral. Lineage: Eukaryota; Metazoa; Mollusca; Gastropoda; Lymnaeidae.